Molecule: ribosomal RNA, 318 nt
Filed under: Triticum aestivum (bread wheat)
Lineage: Eukaryota; Viridiplantae; Streptophyta; Magnoliopsida; Poales; Poaceae
Description: partial small subunit ribosomal RNA
Source: RNAcentral
AUGGAAGACGGUGGGGUUGAGUUCCUGCUUGAGGCCAUUGACAGGUUCCCAUUACGAGAGGAGUUCGCGGACAACCUCGAGCACCCAGAUCCGGUUCCCCCGGUCUUGUUGCCAAACAGCGGAGCCGGCCUUGCCGUUCCCGCGGACUCAAAUACUGGAUCUGGUUGCGCUCAACAGCUCGGCGGCGAUGGGAAUGAUAUGGCAGGAGUUCGAGUUCGCCGUCUCGCGGAUGCAUCACCGACGAGGUCGGCCCAGUCUACUGACAGAGUCAAUCCAGAGGCACCUGGGAGGACAAAAAAGGUUAUGGUUGGGCAGUGA